CCACAAACAGCAGAAGGAACUGAAUCUCUGUGACUCACAUUGUGUGAAUUCCUCACGAGUAUAUAAAGGAAACUUCUCCACAACAGAAGAUGUUCAUGGUUUGACUUUCUACUCGAGUCGUGUCAAUAUAUAUAUAAUAGAUCAGGAUUCUUCUACACAACAGAUGAUGUGAAUGUUUCUGCACUUCACUCAUUUAUUCAAGUUCUCCAUGUAAAUCUGGACAUUAAUGUCAGGAUUGAAAUACAUCUGGACCAUCACAAAUUGCAGAACGAGAGAAAGUGAGGAAAUGGCCAAAGAUCAACAAGUCAAUGAAGAAUCAAACAGUUUCAUGUUUCUUCGUCAAAGCAGCACAAAUAUUUUCCGACCAAACAUGUCUGCUGAUCUCAGACCUGUACAAACACAAUCUUAUGUAUCACAGACUGUUAAACAUGAGAAAAGCACAUCAAGAUCUCUUCUGGAAGACUGUCUGAGACACGUUCAACUCAACUUUCAGCAUUUACGAUUGAAAAUGAAGCAAAACUUCAAAUAAUCUCUCAAACUCUAAAAACUGGACAAAAGAAACGUUCUUACUUUCUAAACAGAAGACAUUCAUGAACUGCGAAUAAACUCACAGACGCUUAUAUAGUAACAGAGCGUAACGAGGGGGCGUGGCCUGUUCAAUUGUGUUCAUUUGGGAACUCCCAGUUACGAAACACCUCACAUCUCUCGUGUCGUCAUGAGCUGUGCAUGAAUCCAACUAAUAUGUGGCUUUCUAAUUUUAUGGAUAUUGGGAAAGAAUGUUCCUUUUGUAACAACUGUGAGGAGUCUUUAAAUCAUCUGUUUGUUGAUUGCCAGAGUGUAAAGUCAUUUUGGAAAGAUUGUUUUUUUACUUAUUCAGUUAAAAUUAAUCUAACGAUAACUCUGAAUGUGAAAGAAAUUAUUUGCUACUUUGAGAAUGAUGAUAAAAAUAUUCACAAUUUUGUAAAUUUUAUCAUCCUGAAUGGCAAAUUUUUCAUUCAUAAAUGUAGAUUGUCAAAAUCUCCCCCUUUAUACAACGUUUUCUCUAACGAACUCAUUUAGUUAAUGAAGUCUCUUAAAAUUGUAAAAAAUUCAAAAGCUAUGUCUAUUGUAAAAUAUUAUGAAUCUGUAUAUGGCGUCUUAUGAAUGUCUCUAUUUUAUUUUAUAUUUCUCUUUUUAUUUAAUCAUCUUUGGAGCUUGUAUUAUUCAUGCCUGUUAUUUUUUGUAAUGUUAU
Molecule: long non-coding RNA, 1231 nt
Organism: Xyrauchen texanus (razorback sucker)
Lineage: Eukaryota; Metazoa; Chordata; Actinopteri; Cypriniformes; Catostomidae
Exons: 4
Source: RefSeq, a predicted model, not a curated record